CCGAGGAAAAGAAAUCAACCGAGAUUCCCCCAGUAGCGGCGAGCGAACGGGGAGGAGCCCAGAGCCUGAAUCAGCAUGUGUGUUAGUGGAAGCGUCUGGAAAGGCGCGCGAUACAGGGUGACAGCCCCGUACACAAAAGCGCAUGUGCUGUGAGCUCGAUGAGUAGGGCGGGACACGUGGUAUCCUGUCUGAAUAUGGGGGGACCAUCCUCCAAGGCUAAAUACUCCUGACUGACCGAUAGUGAACCAGUACCGUGAGGGAAAGGCGAAAAGAACCCCGGCGAGGGGAGUGAAAAAGAACCUGAAACCGUGUACGUACAAGCAGUGGGAGCACCCUUUGGGGUGUGACUGCGUACCUUUUGUAUAAUGGGUCAGCGACUUAUAUUCUGUAGCAAGGUUAACCGUAUAGGGGAGCCGGAGGGAAACCGAGUCUUAACCGGGCGUUAAGUUGCAGGGUAUAGACCCGAAACCCGGUGAUCUAGCCAUGGGCAGGUUGAAGGUUGGGUAACACUAACUGGAGGACCGAACCGACUAAUGUUGAAAAAUUAGCGGAUGACCUGUGGCUGGGGGUGAAAGGCCAAUCAAACCGGGAGAUAGCUGGUUCUCCCCGAAAGCUAUUUAGGUAGCGCCUCGUGAAUUCAUCUCCGGGGGUAGAGCACUGU
This 661-nucleotide ribosomal RNA is filed under the name Salmonella enterica subsp. enterica serovar Kottbus. RNAcentral's name for it is "partial 23S ribosomal RNA". It matches the Rfam family "Bacterial large subunit ribosomal RNA", at positions 211 to 913 of the family's 2925-position model. The record is from RNAcentral. Lineage: Bacteria; Pseudomonadati; Pseudomonadota; Gammaproteobacteria; Enterobacterales; Enterobacteriaceae.